UCCAGCUCCAAUAGCGUAUAUUAAAGUUGUUGCAGUUAAAAAGCUCGUAGUUGGAUUUCUGGUGGGAGCGAUCGGUCUGACACUUUGUGUGAGUACUCGUAUUGUCUCCGGCCAUCCUUGGGCGGAGCCUGUCUGGCAUUAAGUUGUCGGGCAGGGGAUGCCCAUCGUUUACUGUGAAAAAAUUAGAGUGUUCAAAGCGGGCUUACGCUUGAAUAUAUUAGCAUGGAAUAACACUAUAGGACUCCUGUCCUAUUUUGUUGGUCUUCGGGACGGGAGUAAUGAUUAAGAGGAACAGUUGGGGGCAUUCGUAUUUCAUUGUCAGAGGUGAAAUUCUUGGAUUUACGGAAGACGAACUACUGCGAAAGCAUUUACCAAGG
Molecule: ribosomal RNA, 377 nt
Filed under: Ditylum brightwellii
Lineage: Eukaryota; Bacillariophyta; Thalassiosirophyceae; Lithodesmiales; Lithodesmiaceae
Description: partial Eukaryotic small subunit ribosomal RNA
Rfam family: Eukaryotic small subunit ribosomal RNA
Source: RNAcentral